GCUUAGCUCAGCUGGUAGAGCAUCUGCCUUACAAGCAGAGGGUCAUAGGUUCGAGUCCUAU
RNAcentral lists this transfer RNA (61 nucleotides) under human gut metagenome. It matches the Rfam family "tRNA", at positions 8 to 63 of the family's 71-position model. From Rfam's summary of the family: Transfer RNA (tRNA) molecules are approximately 80 nucleotides in length. Their secondary structure includes four short double-helical elements and three loops (D, anti-codon, and T loops). The record is from RNAcentral.